GCAGGGCCGCUCAUCCCACAGCGGGCCCAGCGAGACUGGCCCAGGCAUCCGGGCCCUGCCACGCCUCGCGUCCCUGAAGCCGUAACCGACUCCGCUGGGACGGAGACAAAACUAUGGCAGCAGCCGUACACCAGCCUUUCCUACCUCCUACCCCAAGAGCGAAGCGCAGAACCCCCAUUCCCCACUCACCGCCAGACCGGAACCAGGAAGGCGGAAGUCGCGACUUUCCCGUCCCGCCCACAGGCCGGCUCCAACCUUCGAGUCCAGGGUAAGGAAGUCGAGGUGCCAAUUUCCGGUCGCGGCCCUGUUGGAGUAGGCCCGGGACUCCGGCUUUGCAGGACGCGGGGGCGGGGUGGGGCGGCGCUGGGAUUUCCGAGGAGCGGCAGAUCCUUGUGGUUUGUCUUCCUUGGGGACUGUAACCACCACACCAGGAAAUGGAGAGAGUCUACAACUGGAAGCAGGAGAAUCGCACCCAUCAGCCAUGUGGGAUCUAAACCCCCUCUCGAUUUAGAGGUGGAAUGGACAACACCAUCCCAUGGUCCACAGAUGGAGGAAUAAAAUGUGGAUUAGAGUGGAUUUACUGGUCUUCUACUAUAGAACUAUUUUGACUCUAGCAAUGGAAGAAGUUUUAUCACUGAUGUAGAGACAGUGGCCAUGGGAGUUGCUGAGGGCAAGGAGAGGGAAGAAGAGGUAUGAUGUGGGGGCAUUUUCGUGACUUGGUGUUGCCCUGAAUGAUAUGCAGGACAUUAUAUAUCCUGCCAUAACCCACUGAAUGGACUGGGGAGAGUAUAAACUACAAUGUAAACUAUAAUCCAUAUGGUAUACCAGUGCUCCAAAUGUAUUCACCCAAUACAGUGAAUGUGCCACAAUGAUAAAAAAGUUGUUGAUGUGGGAGGAGUGAGGGUAUGUGUGGGAUAUAUGGGAACCUCUUAUAUUGUUUAAUGUAACAUAUUUUGUGCUCUAUGUAUCUUUUAAAAAAAAAGACAAAAAUUAAAAAAAAAUAAAGAUGCUCUUAAAUAUAUUACUACCUUAUUUAAACUAUUCACUUCCAAGAUGUGCAGUGCUUUAGCACAAAGAAUAAGUCACUAAUGCCCUGGAUACACACAAUGAAAAUGCUCUGCUGGAUUUCCCUUUUUAUUAUUAUUUUUUCUGUGGUAAGUUUAUGACUUGAUACUUAGCUUU
Molecule: long non-coding RNA, 1182 nt
Filed under: Dasypus novemcinctus (nine-banded armadillo)
Lineage: Eukaryota; Metazoa; Chordata; Mammalia; Cingulata; Dasypodidae
Description: lncRNA (ENSDNOG00000051251.1)
Source: RNAcentral